This is a small nucleolar RNA of Myotis daubentonii (Daubenton's bat), 137 nucleotides long. Lineage: Eukaryota; Metazoa; Chordata; Mammalia; Chiroptera; Vespertilionidae. The record is from RefSeq and is a predicted model, not a curated record.
AUCCAAAGUAUUGAGCAAAUAAUUUCAUAGUAGCUUCCCUGUUCUGUUAAUUAAACUUUGGGACAUUGAAACACAGGCUAGGGGAGAUGAAUGCAUAGAAAACAUUGCUCUAUUCAUUUACCUCCCAGUCUACAAAA